RNAcentral lists this ribosomal RNA (251 nucleotides) under uncultured prokaryote. RNAcentral's name for it is "partial 16S rRNA". It matches the Rfam family "Bacterial small subunit ribosomal RNA", at positions 525 to 775 of the family's 1533-position model. The record is from RNAcentral.
ACGUAAGGGGCGAGCGUUGUUAGGAAUUAUUGGGCGUAAAGGGCGUGUAGGCGGUUUGGUAAGUCUGGGGUAAAAGGCGUACGCUUAACGUAAGUAGGUCGCUGGGGACUGUCAGACUAGAGUGUAUGAAGGGGAUCUGGAAUUCCAGGUGUUGUAGUGAAAUCUGUAGAUAUCUGGAAGAACACCGAUGGCGAAGGCAUGCUUCUAGCCAUACACUGACGCUGAGGCGCGAAAGCGUGGGGAGCGAACAG